CAUAUCAGACGCUCACUGGACAAAGUGAGAUGGACUCUGGUAAUUAUGCCGUCAGGUGGAUGGCUCGGCUCAAGCGCUGAUGAAGGACGUGCCAAGCUGCGAUAAGCUCAGGGUAGGUGCAUGGAACCUAUGAACCUGAGAUUUCCUAAUGAGACCUCUUAGCACAUUUGUGCUGAUCAGUAAUGAUCGGGAACGCCCCGAAUUGAAACAUCUUAGUAGGGGCAGGAAGAGAAAUCGAAGAGAUGCCGUUAGUAAUGGCGAAUGAACACGGCACAGUUCAAACUGAAUCCCUCCAGUAAUGUGAGGGAGAUGUGGUGUUAUAGGAACUUUCUAAGAUUCCUAUCUUUUCUUAGCUGAACUUUUCUGGAACGUUAGACCAUAGAGUGUGAUAGUCACGUAAGCAAUGAAAAGAGGAAUUGGAAAUGUUCCUGAGUAUCGUGUGUUGGAAAUCACGCGAGAAUUUGGGAGGCACCAACUUCCAAAACUAAAUACGUCUUGAGACCGAUAGCGAAAUAGUAGGGUGACCGAAAACUGAAAAGUACCCCCAAAAGGGAGGUUAAAAGUGCCUGAAACCUGAUGGUGAUGGAGCGAUAUGGCAUGAAAGGAUCUUUAGUUCGAAGGAAUCAACCGCGAGGUUGUAGUACGAGUUCUAAUGCCGAUGUCAUAUCAUACGUUUUGAAGAACGGGCCAGGGAGUGUAACUAAGUGGCGAUGGCUAACCUUUUAUCUGGGAAGCCGAAGCGAAAGCAACAUGCGUGCAACCUUUACGGGUGAGACGCGGCGUAUACAAGUGCGUGGAGUCACUAAGUUACGACCCGAAGCCGGGUGAUCUAGGCGUGGGCAGGUUGAAGCGUGGCGAAAGCUACGUGGAGGACCGCAAGCGGUAUUGAUCUGCAAAUCAUUCGUGUGACCUGCGUCUCGGAGUGAAAGGCUAAUCUAACCCGGCAUCAGCUGGUUCCUUCCGAAACAUGUCGUAGCAUGACCUAACUGGAGAUAGUCGGUGGAGUAGAGCACUGAUUGAUGGCCCUGGGGAAGAAAUUCCUCAUCCGUCUGUCAAACUCCGAACCCACCGUCGUCGUAGAAGGUUGGAGUCCGGACUACUGGGGUAAGCCUGUAGUCCGUAAGGGAGACAACCCAGCCCGUGGUUAAGGUCCCUAAGUGUCGACUAAGUGUUAAUACUAAAGGGCGUCCCAAGCCCUAGACAGCUGGAAGGUUAGCUUAGAAGCAGCUAUCCUUUAAAGAGUGCGUAACAGCCCACCAGUCGAGGUUUGGGGCCCCGAAAAUGGACGGGGCUCAAGUCGACCACCGAUACCACGGAGUACCGUAAGGUAAUCUCGUAGGAAGGCGUUGCGUUUGGGUAGAAGCAGGGCUGUGAAGUCCUGUGGACCGAGCGGAAACGAAAAUCCUGGUAAUAGUAGCAGCAUAGUUAGGUGAGAAUCCUAACCGCCGAAGGGGCUAGGUUUCCUCGGCAAUGAUCGUCAGCCGAGGGUUAGUCGGUCCUAAGUUGUACCGUAAUUCGAGUACAUCAAAAGGGAAACAGGUUAAUAUUCCUGUACUAUUCAACAAUAAAACUGACGUUUUGGGGCAGGCUGAGCGGCGCUGUCGCGCCGUUUAAGCAUCUAAAUCUGUGGAGAGCCGUAAUGGCGAGAAGCAGACGAAUAUGUUAUGACGAAAGUCGGCUGCACCCCGGAACCCGUGAAAAGGGAGUUGAAUAUCCGUACCGAGAUCUGACACAGGUGCCCCUAGCUGAAAAGGCUAAGGCGUGUCGGAAUAAUUUGGCUAAGGGAAUUCGGCAAAUUGGCUCCGUAACUUCGGGAGAAGGAGUGCCUGCCGUGAAGACGGCAGGUCGCAGUGACCAGGGAACUCUAACUGUCUAAUAUCAACAUAGGAGAUCGCAAACCCGUAAGGGCUAGUACGAUCUCUGAAUCCUGCUCAGUGCAGGUACCUGAAACUUCGGUUCAACGGAAUGAAGGGCCUGUAAACAGCGGGGGUAACUAUGACCCUCUUAAGGUAGCGUAGUACCUUGUCGCUUAAUUGGCGACUUGCAUGAAUGGAUCAAUGAGAGUUCUACUGUCCCUAGCCAGAGUCCGGUGAAGCUUACAUUCUAGUGCAGAGUCUAGAGACCUCUAGGGGGAAGUGAAGACCCCGUGGAGCUUUACUGCAGCCUGUCGCUGGGUUGUGAUUUUGGAUGUACAGUGUAGGUAGGAGACGUCGAAGCCGGUGCGCCAGCAUCGGUGGAGUCGCAAUUGGGACACUACCCUUCCAAAGUUACGACCCUCACUCCGUGAGGAGGACCCCGAUAGGUGGGCAGUUUGCCUGGGGCGGGACGCCCUUGAAAAGAUAUCAAGGGCGCGCAAUGGUUAACUCAAGUGGGUCGGAAACCUACUGAAGAGUGCAAGAGCAUAAGUUAGCCUGACGUGAUUCAGCACAGUAGUGGAUUACGAGACGAAAGUCGGUUCUAGCGAACCUUUAUGUCCCGCUUGGUGCGGGCUAAAGAUGACAGAAAAGUUACCCCGGGGAUAAUUGAGUCGUUGCCGGCAAGAGCACAUAUCGACCCGGCAGCUUGCUACCUCGAUGUCGGUUCUUUCCAUCCUGGCUGUGCAGCAGCAGCCAAGGGUGAGGUUGUUCGCCUAUUAAAGGAGAUCGUGAGCUGGGUUUAGACCGUCGUGAGACAGGUCGGUUACUAUCUACUAGAGGUGUAUGUGGUCUGAGGGUAAGUUGCUUUUAGUACGAGAGGAACAGAGCAACGGCGCCACUGGUCGAUCGGUUGUCUGACAAGGCACUGCCGAGCAGCUACGCGCUAAGGAAUAAGAGCUGAAUGCAUCUAAGCUCGAAAUCUAACCUAAAAAGAGACCACUUUAAGGGUUCCGGUAAAAGACCGGAUCGAUAGGAAUGGGAUGUAAGCACCAAGGCAACGAGGUGUUCAGUCCGCAUUUACUAAUAUCCGUGCCUC
This 2952-nucleotide ribosomal RNA is filed under the name Methanococcoides burtonii. RNAcentral's name for it is "23S ribosomal RNA". It matches the Rfam family "Archaeal large subunit ribosomal RNA". Lineage: Archaea; Methanobacteriati; Methanobacteriota; Methanomicrobia; Methanosarcinales; Methanosarcinaceae. The record is from RNAcentral. RNAcentral also lists the same sequence under 1 other name.